GAUGCAUCAUUCAAAUAUCUGCCCUAUCAACUUUCGAUGGUAGGAUAGUGGCCUACCAUGGUUUUAACGGGUAACGGGGAAUAAGGGUUCGAUUCCGGAGAGGGAGCCUGAGAAACGGCUACCACAUCCAAGGAAGGCAGCAGGCGCGCAAAUUACCCAAUCCCGACACGGGGAGGUAGUGACAAUAAAUAACAAUAUAGGGCUCUUUUGGGUCUUAUAAUUGGAAUGAGUACAAUUUAAAUCUCUUAACGAGGAACAAUUGGAGGGCAAGUCUGGUGCCAGCAGCCGCGGUAAUUCCAGCUCCAAUAGCGUAUAUUAAAGUUGUUGCAGUUAAAAAGCUCGUAGUUGAACUUCAGAUCUGGUUGAGUGGUCCGCCUAACGGUGUGUUACUGCUUGACUGGGUCUUGUCUCUUGGUGAACCGUUGUGUUCUUUAUUGGAUGCUUCGGGGAACCAGGACUUUUACCUUGAGAAAAUUAGAGUGUUCAAAGCAGGCCUAUGCCCGAAUACAUUAGCAUGGAAUAAUAGAA
RNAcentral lists this ribosomal RNA (528 nucleotides) under uncultured fungus. RNAcentral's name for it is "SSU rRNA". It matches the Rfam family "Eukaryotic small subunit ribosomal RNA", at positions 289 to 822 of the family's 1831-position model. The record is from RNAcentral. Lineage: Eukaryota; Fungi.